This 274-nucleotide ribosomal RNA is filed under the name uncultured bacterium. Its description in RNAcentral is "partial 16S ribosomal RNA". It matches the Rfam family "Bacterial small subunit ribosomal RNA", at positions 523 to 796 of the family's 1533-position model. The record is from RNAcentral.
AUACGGGGGGUGCAAGCGUUAAUCGGAAUUACUGGGCGUAAAGCGCGCGUAGGCGGUUUGCUCAGUCGGAUGUGAAAGCCCAGGGCUCAACCUCGGAACUGCAUACGAUACUGGCAAACUAGAGUGUGAGAGAGGAUAGUGGAAUUUCCGGUGUAGCGGUGAAAUGCGUAGAUAUCGGAAGGAACAUCAGUGGCGAAGGCGACUGUCUGGCUCAACACUGACGCUGAGGUGCGAAAGCGUGGGUAGCAAACAGGAUUAGAUACCCUAGUAGUCC